UUAAAGAUUAGUGAGCAUUGCAUUCAGAUUCAACUGAAUUUGUAAAACAGACGAUACAACAAAAUGAAACUGGUUGUGAUUGUACUGUUGUGCUCAGUGGCAGCGUGUGUUUAUGGGGAAAAUUGUACAGUGAACGCCGACUGCUUAAACGCUCAGUUUGCAUGUGGCGUUAAUUAUCACAAUAUUUGUGAACACAAUGACCAGAUCGGAGUUAUUACCGGAGGCGGACUGUGCACGUGUGCUGUCAACGAUUUAUAUUGCACAAGCAAUGUUAGGUGUGCCAGGGCUCAUCAGCUAAACGCUUGCCCAAAGAAACGAAGGCGCUGUUAUGACGGCAAAUGCAUUUGUAGUAGACGAGUGCUGGUGUAAAUCAAAUUAUUUGUUCAGUUGACCAAGAAUAUUGAUAAAAAUA
Mya arenaria is the source of this 412-nucleotide long non-coding RNA. RefSeq lists it as uncharacterized. The transcript is spliced from 3 exons. Lineage: Eukaryota; Metazoa; Mollusca; Bivalvia; Myida; Myidae. The record is from RefSeq and is a predicted model, not a curated record.